CAGCAGCCGCGGUAAUACGUAGGGCGCAAGCGUUAUCCGGAAUUAUUGGGCGUAAAGAGCUCGUAGGCGGUUUGUCGCGUCUGCCGUGAAAGUCCGGGGCUCAACCCCGGAUCUGCGGUGGGUACGGGCAGACUAGAGUGAUGUAGGGGAGACUGGAAUUCCUGGUGUAGCGGUGAAAUGCGCAGAUAUCAGGAGGAACACCGAUGGCGAAGGCAGGUCUCUGGGCAUUAACUGACGCUGAGGAGCGAAAGCAUGGGGAGCGAACAGGAUUAGAUACCCGCGUAGUCCCUGUCUCUUAUAC
Molecule: ribosomal RNA, 301 nt
Filed under: uncultured bacterium
Lineage: Bacteria
Description: partial 16S ribosomal RNA
Rfam family: Bacterial small subunit ribosomal RNA
Source: RNAcentral